RNAcentral lists this ribosomal RNA (478 nucleotides) under uncultured bacterium. RNAcentral describes it as "partial 16S ribosomal RNA". It matches the Rfam family "Bacterial small subunit ribosomal RNA", at positions 28 to 523 of the family's 1533-position model. The record is from RNAcentral.
GACGAACGCUGGCGGCGUGCUUAACACAUGCAAGUCGAACGGUAAGGCCCUUCGGGGUACACGAGUGGCGAACGGGUGAGUAACACGUGGGUGAUCUGCCCUGCACUUCGGGAUAAGCCUGGGAAACUGGGUCUAAUACCGGAUAGGACUCCGGACUGCAUGGUCUGGGGUGGAAAGCUUUUGCGGUGUGGGAUGGGCCCGCGGCCUAUCAGCUUGUUGGUGGGGUGAUGGCCUACCAAGGCGACGACGGGUAGCCGGCCUGAGAGGGUGAGCGGCCGCACUGGGACUGAGAUACGGCCCAGACUGCUGCGGGAGGCAGCAGUGGGGAAUAUUGCACAAUGGGCGCAAGCCUGAUGCAGCGACGCCGCGUGAGGGAUGACGGCCUUCGGGUUGUAAACCUCUUUCAGCAUCGACGAAGCGAAAGUGACGGUAGGUGCAGAAGAAGGACCGGCCAACUACGUGCCAGCCGCCGCCGUAA